AUCGAUGAAGAACGCAGCGAAAUGCGAUAAGUAAUGCGAAUUGCAGAAUUCCAGUGAGUCAUCGAAUCUUUGAACGCACAUUGCGCCCUUUGGUAUUCCGAAGGGCAUGCCUGUUCGAGCGUCAUUAUCACCCCUCAAGCCCCGUGCUUGGUGUUGGACGGCUUGGUCGCGUCACCGCGACUCCUCCUAAAGACAAUGACGGCGGCCUGUGGUUCCCCCGGUACACUGAGCUUUUAAUUGAGCACGUAUUGGAUAAGGGCACCCGGGACCCGGUCUUCUCCCUUUACCGGGAAAUUUUUCAAUGGUUGACCUCGGAUCAGGUAGGAAUACGCGCUGAACUUAAGCAUAUCAAUAAGCGCAGGAAAAGAAACCAACAGGGAUUACCUCAGUAACGGCGAGUGAAGCGGUAAUAGCUCAAAUUUGAAAUCUGGCCUCUUGGGGUCCGAGUUGUAAUUUGUAGAGGAUGUUUUGGGUACCGCCCCGGUUUAAAUUUCUUGGAACAGAAUGUCAAAGAGGGUGAGAAUCCCGUCUUGGACCGGUGGUAGGGCCUGUGUAAAACUCCUUCGACGAGUCGAGUUGUUUGGGAAUGCAGCUCAAAAUGGGUGGUAAAUUUCAUCUAAAGCUAAAUAUUGGCCAGAGACCGAUAGCGCACAAGUAGAGUGAUCGAAAGAUGAAAAGCACUUUGAAAAGAGAGUUAAACAGUAUGUGAAAUUGUUGAAAGGGAAGCGCUUGCAAUCAGACUUGAGCGCGGCGGUUCCCCUGACCUUUUGGUUAGGCUAUUCCGUCGUGUCCAGGCCAACAUCGGUUCUGAGGGUCGGUCAAAGGCCUUGGGAAUGUAUCUACCUACGGGUAGACUUAUAGACCAGGGUGUCAUGCGGCCUCUCGGGACCGAGGAACGCGCUUCGGCUCGGAUGUUGGCGUAAUGGUUGUCAGCGACCCGUCUUGAAACACGG
Molecule: ribosomal RNA, 953 nt
Filed under: uncultured fungus
Lineage: Eukaryota; Fungi
Description: eukaryotic LSU rRNA
Rfam family: Eukaryotic large subunit ribosomal RNA (bases 307-953)
Source: RNAcentral